UCCUGGAGUGGCUCAGUCAGUAGAACAUAAGAUUUUUAAUCUCAGGGUUGUGGGUUCGAUCCCCACGUUGGGCG
Non-coding RNA from Podarcis lilfordi (Lilford's wall lizard), 74 nucleotides. Lineage: Eukaryota; Metazoa; Chordata; Lepidosauria; Squamata; Lacertidae. The record is from the annotation of a GenBank genome assembly.